UAAAGACAUAUGAAUAUUCCGAUAAAUAAUAUCAAAUGAUACAAAUUCAAAGAANUUGGCGGUGUCUUAUAUUCUCAGGGGAACCUGUUGCUUAAUUCGAUAAUCCACGAAACUCAAUCCCUUUUUAGAAAAUCCAGCUUGUGUACUGCUGUCGUCAGUAAACCUUUAAAAGAUAGUUUACAAAAAUAAUAUAAAAUUAUUAACGUCAAGUCAAAGUGCAGCCUAUAAAAGUGGAGCAAAAUGGGUUACAAUCUUUUAUAAAGAUUACGAAUUCAGUAAUUAUAAUAGUGAUAAAGGUGGACUUGAUAGUAAUAUUAAAAUAAUAAUAAUAUGAACAAUUAAUCUAAGACAUGCACACAUCGCCCGUCGCUCU
RNAcentral lists this ribosomal RNA (373 nucleotides) under Enchytraeus polatdemiri. RNAcentral's name for it is "partial 12S ribosomal RNA". It matches the Rfam family "Microsporidia small subunit ribosomal RNA", at positions 752 to 1205 of the family's 1311-position model. Lineage: Eukaryota; Metazoa; Annelida; Clitellata; Enchytraeida; Enchytraeidae. The record is from RNAcentral.